Antechinus flavipes (yellow-footed antechinus) is the source of this 6584-nucleotide long non-coding RNA. RefSeq lists it as uncharacterized. Lineage: Eukaryota; Metazoa; Chordata; Mammalia; Dasyuromorphia; Dasyuridae. The transcript is spliced from 3 exons. The record is from RefSeq and is a predicted model, not a curated record.
UAGAGACUUGACGCAGGGAGAUCAAGUAAGUAGCCAUUACUUACAACAGUCUAGAAGACAGGAAAAUUAGGACUGGCUAUGUGAAUAGAGAGAAAGGGUAGAAUGUGAAAGAUAUCAUGAAGAUAGAAAAAGCAAGAUUUGGCAAUUGAUCAAAUAUGUUGAGUAAGGUGAUAUCAACAGUACCAGUCCCAGAAAAAGGAAGAAUCACGGUACCUUCAAUAGAAAUAAGACAAUUUGGAAGAGGGAUUAUUUGGAAUGCUACUUGCUGUACAGCAUGAGGAAUUUCAGGAGGAGAUCAGCACUGAAGUGAGGGACAGCUGAAAGGUGAAUCUUCAAAAUAAAAGAAAAUAAGAAAAGAGAAGCAACUAGAUGGAGCAGUGGAUAGAAUGCCAGCCCUGGAAUCAGGAAGAUCUGACUUCAAAUCUGUUUUCAGGUACUUGACACUUAAUAGCUGUGUAACUCACUUAACCCCAACUGCUUCGCUUCCCCCUACCCCUACCAUAGAAAAAGAUAAUAAAAAAAUUUUUUUUGCCAUGUGCACAGAAGAACAUAAGAGAGGAUUCAAAUAUAAAGCAAUAACUGUCCAUUUCAAGAAAGUUAUACAAUAAAUACUAGUCAUUAUAUUUAAAACUAUCCAUUUUUUCUUUGCUUCCUUGUAGGUUUUUUUCUCUGUUGUGUACUUUUUACUUUAUUCUCCCCCUCCCCUGUACACACACCCCUACAUAUACAAACAUCUGCAUACAUAUACAUACAUAGCUAUAUACAUUCAUAUCUAUCUGGGUAAUUAUGCUUAUUUAUCCUUUGUUUCUCUGAAAGUGAGUAACAUCUUCUUAAGUCCAAGUCCUUCCAUAUUUUUCUAACUCUGCCAACUCAUCAUAACCUAUACCAUAGCAAUAUUCCAGACAUAUACUGUCUAGUUAUAUUUAAAAAUCUAAAACAAUGUAAAAUAUUGGCAUAUAGUAUAGUUUCCUUAUUUUUUCCUUUUUGAUUAAAUCUAUUUUAGUUUUAACUUACUCCUACUUUUUUUUAAUAUGAUAAAUCCUAACCACCCACAUAAGACUCCUUUAUCCUCUAUCCCCCUAUGCUUCUUUCUUUCUGAAUUUAGAAGACUUUUAUACCUUAAUAAAUAUGUAUGUAUUCUUCCCCCUUGAACUCAUUUCCAAUGAAAGAUGCCUGAACUAGCAACCCUCCUCCCCAUCUAAUUCCUCUGUCAGUUUUUUCAUACCUUAUAAUUGUUCUACCCCAAUCUUUGUUUCAAAUUAUCCAAUUAUUAAUGUCUUAUAUAUAUGGUUUAUACAAAGACAUGUAUAAAAUAGAAAUAGUUUGUCCAUAUUGAGUGCCUUGUAAUUAGUCUUUGAUGUUUAUAUUUCUCUUGCAUCUUUUAUAUCAAAUUUUCUAUUAAGUUCAGGUCUUUUUGAAACAAAAUCCUGAAAGUCUAUCAAUUCAUUGAAUAUCUCAGAGAGGAUUGGCAAGACUUACAUGAACUGAUGUAAGUGAAAUGAGCAGAACCAGGAGAUGAUUAUAUACCUCAACAACGAUACUGUUUGAGGAUGUAUUCUGAUGGAAGUGGAUCUCUUCGAUAAAGAGAGCUAAUUCAGUUUCAAUUGAUCAAGGAUGGACAGAAGCAGCUACACCCAAAGAAAGAACACUGGGAAAUGAAUAUAAACUGCUUGCAUUUUUGUUUUUCUUCCCGGGUUAUUUAUACCUUCUGAAUCCAAUUCUCCCUGUGCAACAAGAGAACUGUUCGGUUGUAUUUAGGAUAUACUGUAACCUAUUUAACAUGUAAAGGACUGCUUGUCAUCUGGGGGAGGGGGUGAAGGGAAGGAGGAAAAAUUGGAACAGAAGUGAGUGCAAGAGAUAAUGCUAUAAAAAAUUACCCUGGCAUGGGUUCUGUCAAUAAAAAGUUAUUUAAAAAAAAAAAAAAAAAGUUCACAGACAAAAAAAAAAAAAUUCAUUGAAUAUCCUUUUAGUUUUUCAUUCAUGAUUGUCCUCGGCUUUUCUAGGUAUGAUAUUUCUGGCCACAACCCCAGUUCUUUUGUUCUUUGAUAUAUAGUGUUGAAGAUCUUUGGUCUUUUAAAGAAGCCACUGCUAGGUUUCAUGGAAUUCUAAUUGUGGCUCUGCCACAUUUGCAUUUUUUUCCUUCUUGUUGCUUGUAAUAUUUCCUCUAUGAUCUGGGGGUUUUAGAAUUUGCUUUGAUGUUCCUGUAGGUUUUAUCUGUAGGACCUCUUUCAGGUGGUAAAUCGGUGAAUUUUUAAAAUCUAUACUUUCCCCCUCUUGUUCUAACACUUCAGCACAAUUUUCUUUGAUUAUGUCUUAUAUUAUUAUAUCAAGAUCAAGACUGACGAUACGAUGAAAAAACUCUUUUUUUGAACAUAGCUUUCAGCCAGUCCAAUUAUUUUUGUUUUCUCUUUUUGAUCUCUUCUCCAGAUAAAACUUUUUUCUUAUGUUUCCUGAUCUUUUUUUUUUAAUUUUUUAUCUUUUGCUUUAUUAAUUCUUGGUCUCUUAGACCACUGUUGGCCUCUUCUUGCCUAAAUCUAGUUUUCAAAGAGUCAUUUUUUUUCCCCUUAAGACUCUGGAUCUCCUGCUGAGUGAAAUGAGCAGAACCAGGAGAUCAUUAUAUACCUCAACAACGAUACUGUUUGAGGAUGUAUUCUGAUGGAAGUGGACCUCUUUGAUAAAGAGAGCCUUAAUUGAUCAAAGAUGGACAGAAGCAGCUACACUCAGAGAAAGAACACUGGGAAAUGAAUAUAAACUGCUUGCAUUUUUGUUUUUCUUCCCGGGUUAUUUAUACCUUCUGAAUUCAAUUCUCCCUAUGCAACAAGAAAACUGUUCGGUUCUGCACACAUAUAUUGUAUCUAGGAUAUACUGCAACCCAUUCAACAUGUAAAUGACUCUUGCCAUCUGGGGGAAGGGGUGGAGGGAGGGAGGGGAAAAAUCGGAACAGAAGUGAAUGCAAGGGAUAAUGCUGUAAAAAAUUACCCUGGUAUGCGUUCUAUCAAUAAAAAGUUAUUAAAAAAAUAAAUUAAAAAAAAAAAAAAGACUCUGGAUCGCCAAAGCUUUUUAAAUUCUGGUUCACAACCAUAUAUAUAGGGAUGUGUAACUGAAUGUGGAGGGUCAUAAAAAUUUGGCACCAGUAAAAAAGAUCAAAUAUUCCACCAAGAUUUAAUUCACUAUGUUACAAUAAACAAGCAUAUUCAUAACAAUAUAAACAUCUACUUUUUAUCUUUAAUAAAUGGUAAAAUUAUGUGUAUACCAAAGAAUUGUUAUAAAAUAAAUUUUUGAUUUAUUAUUUAAAAAAAAAUUCUGGAGCUCCUUUCAAGUUGAUUGACUUUUCAUAAUCUGCUUAUUUUUCUUGGCUUGUUAUUUUUUCCCCCUUUAUCUCUCUUAUUUGAUUUUUUAAAAGGAGUUCUAUCAAUUCUUUUUAGGCAGGUGACCAGUUGAUGUUGCACUUUGAGGUAGGAGAGGCUUUUUUUGCUUCAGUAUUUUUCUCUGAAGAUGAACUUGAUCUUCUCUAUUCCUAUAGCAAUUUCCUAUGGUUGGGUUCUUUUUUUCUUUCUUCUUCCUUCCUUUCUCCCCUCUUUUCUAUUGUUUUCUUUUUUUUCUGGUUGUACAUGUACAUGAAGUUUUUUAAAUAUGCACUGCUCUAUGGAUCAUGUUGGGAAAGAAAAAUCAGAACAAAAGGGAAAAACCACAAGAGAAAAAAAAAAAAAAACAGAAGAAAAAGAAAAAAAAAGAACAUAGCAUGUGCUGAUUUACAUUCAAGUCUCCUUAGUUCUCCCUAGAUACAGAUGGCAUUCUCUAUCCAAAAAAUAGGAAUUGCCUUGGAUCAUUGAACCUCUGAGAAGAACCAACUCCCUUCACAGCUGAUCAUCUCACAAUCUUGCUGUUACUGAGUACGAUGUAUUCCUGGUUCUGCUUGUUCCACUCAGCAUCAGUUUGUGUACAUCUUUCCAGGCCUUUCUAAAAUCAGCUUACUCAUCAAUUUUUAUAGAACAAUGAUAUUCCGCUGCUUUCAUAUACCAUAAUUUAUUCAGCCAUUUGUCUGUUUAUUAAAAAAAAAGUAUAGCCUCUUGUUAGCAUGAUCACCUCUAAUACGAGGGUGUGGGGGAUAAGUUUCUUUGGCCUCUGGUCCUCCCCUUCAGCUCUCCCCUCUGGCCUGGAACUGAAAUCAAGAACUCUCCUCUUCUAUAAGUGCUGACAGCCAGCCCUAACCCCACUGCUUCUGCACUCACCAGGCGAAUGCUGAUUCCUUCUCACCAAAGACCAUAUUUUGGCAACACAGCUAGACUUGGCAUCCUCUAUCAGUUAAAGUUCCCUCGGUCUUCCCUGACUCAGAUGCCUGACUCCACAUUAUCUCCAAGGUGAAAAUUCCUGUUGCUGGGACCAAGGCUACCUCUCAAACUAGCUAGCCCCAGGGUUUGCAGCUUGCUGUUCCAGCAGAACCAGCCUGGAACAAACCACAUCCUGGCAUUUUUCUUCAGAUAUUCUCUAUUUUUCCAGGAGGACCCCUGUUCUGCCUCAAUUUUUCUUUCUUUCUUUCUUUUUUUUUUUAUAGCUCUAUGUUCUUUUUACUUACUCUCUUUUUAAAUUUCCCAUAAUCUGGUUUCCAAUCUCAUCAGUCAACCAAAAUCAUGCUCUAUAAAGUUAUCAGUGCUCUCUUAAUUGUCAAAUCUAAAAGUCUUUUUCCAAUCUUCCUCCUCCUUAACUUCUCUAAAGCCUUUGACAUGGUUAAUCACCCUUUUCUGCUUGAUAUUCUUUGUCUCUAUGUAUUUAUGACACCACUCUCUUCUUAAUCAGUCUUUUUAAAUUUCUUCUUAGUCAGUCCUUCUCCAAUCACUUCUUCUCAGUUCCCCUUGCCAGAUCAUUGUCUAGAUCAUAUUAGGCUCUCUUUUCUUCUAUAAUUUCAAUUGUCACCUCUAUGUUGAUGAUUCUUUGACCUAGUUAUCUAGCCCAAACCUCCAGAUGCACGCCUGAAAUUAGAUGUCCUGUAGACAUCUUAAACAUGUUGAAAACUGAACUCUUUCUGUCAAAACCAUCUUCUCUUCUGAAUUUCCCUAUAUUCUAGAAGUUACCACCAACCUCCCACUCAUCUAAGCUUCAAACCUAGAUGUUAUCCUUGACUUCUCUCUCUCAUCCCCCAUACCCAACUUGUUGACAAGUUUAGCUGAUGUUAUUAUAUACUUAUUAUAUACAAUGAAAUUAUUAGGAAAAUAUCCUGAACAUAUUAUUUAAAAAAGAGAGGAGAGCUAUAAUAUGUAGAAGAAAUUCCAUAGCAUCAAUGUUACUGAAAAUAACAAAACAAAAACUCAAAUUAAAAACAAUUUUCAAUAAAAGGAGGAUGGUUUAUUAAACUAUUUAAAUUAAUGCAAUGGAAUACUGUAAUGCAAAUUGGGCCAAAAAAGGCUGAUGUAUAUCAGGAUAUCUGGUAAGUUCUAUGUAAAAAUAAUGCAAAGUAAAAGAACCAGAAAGAUUGAAUAGACACUUAUUAGAAGGAAAACUGAAUAAGAAUGAAUAGGAUUCUGAAGAGGAUUUAGAGGUAGUGAUUGAAAAACCACCAUGAUUCUUCUUGUUUGUUUAUAAAUAACUCAUCACCAAAUAUAUGUAUAUAUAAAAUAGUGCUUUACAAAUAUCUAAAAAUAAUCUACAUAAUUCCAGGUUUUUAGUUAACUCCUCAUCAAACUUUUAUACAUAUAUAUGAAAUAGCACUUUAUAAAUAUCUGAAAAUAGUCUACAUAAUCCCAGGUUUUUAGUUAAAUAAAAAGGGUGAUAAAAGUCUAGAAUCUUCACAUUUUAGAGAAGUUUCCCAAAGGUCAACAUUAGUUUUCUUAAAAUUUGGACCCAGAAUCAAACACAAAAGUCCAGAUAUAAUCUGACUACCUUAGAAACAAAAAAUACUAUGACUCUUCAUUACCUCAGGUACCAAAUUCCAAUUCAUCUUUUACAUCAUGGUCUUUGCAAUAUAUUAAAAAAAAAAAUCCUUAUAUCUUAUUUUGAUUCAUAAAUCCCUGCUCAAAAACCUCCAAUGUCUCAUAAUUCCAAUGCCAGGUAAAAUACAAAUACCUGUAUAUGGCAUCCAAGGACUUCUAAAAUGUGGCUUUAAACUACCUUUUCAGAAUUACUUCUCAUGACUCCUGUAAAUGUACAUGGACUCCUAUCCAUUCCAGCAUAAUUGAAAUAGGCAUUGCCCUCUGUUCUCAUUAACUUUUACUGCCCUCUUGUGUUUGUUUACAUAUUCAGUUUACAUCCUGCUACAAAUGGACACACCUUCCAGCCCAUUCUUCACCUUUUAGGAGAUCCAAUACAGAUGUUGUCUUUUUUAUGAAAACUUCCUUGAUUCUUUUAAUAACAAGUGAUCUCUUAUUCCCUGUAAUUCUCAUAACUUGCCUGAGUUUUUUCAAUUUAAAACAUCUGCUCUUGCUACUUCCCUUAUCUAUUAAGUUAUAAGUUUCUUCAGAAAUAAGGACAAAACUUAUUUAUCUGUGUAAGCCCAAGGCCUACUGUCUUGGUGCUUAAUGUUUGUUGAACUGAAUUGAACUGUAAUCUAAAUUCACAAUGGAUUUUUGCCAGUCAGCACAGUACUAUUU